RNAcentral lists this long non-coding RNA (1246 nucleotides) under Homo sapiens (human). Its description in RNAcentral is "HSALNT0192321". The record is from RNAcentral. Lineage: Eukaryota; Metazoa; Chordata; Mammalia; Primates; Hominidae.
CGCCCCUCCCCCAGCCUGUCUUCCGCCUUGCAGUUUGAUCUCAGACUGCUGUGCUAGCAAUCAGCGAGACUCCGUGGGCGUAGGACCCUCCGAGCCAGGCAUCAGCUAUCAAAACUUAUGGGAAAUGGAAUUGAAGACAACUACUUCUAGAAUUGGUGCAUGGAAGCUUCUCAUAGGUGAUUAGCCACACUCUUCUUCUGUCAACCUGGUGCAGAAAAGCUUGAAGACCUUGGAAAUCACAUAUUGAUGAUGGAGGAGAUACAAGAAUGAAGGACCCUGGGUUCCUGAAUCAACACUCUAAGAAGAGACUCCUUGAAAUCAAGAGCACUCAUUUUGACAUUGCAAACGGAAAAAUUCACUUCUAUCAGGUGUCAUUAGUUCCUUGCUAGAAUUUCUUUGGUGUCCUUUCUGCAUUUCAAACUCACAAAGGGGACUGAUCGGAGUCAAACCAUAUGCUGUGGCUUUUGCUCCAUGGAAAUCUCAACUAUACUGCAAGAAUAAUUAUUCCUACUUAAUGAAGUUACAGAAGAGAAUGUGGUGCUGGACGGUACUGACUGCAUGGGGAGAGGCCAUACCACAGAAACCUCAAUCUGCCUGAGCCGUGACUCUGAGAGCUGGAGUACCACUGGACAAGGUCUUUGGUACUUCCUCCUGCAUUCAUUCUCCUUCCUGCUGCCCUGUGAAGAAGGUGCCUUGCUUCACCUUUGCCUUCUACUAUGACUGUAAGUUUCCUGAAGCCUCGCCAGACAUGCUGAACUGUGAGUCAAUUAAACCUCUUUCCUUUAUAAAAUACCCAGUCUCAGGCAGUUAUUUAUGGCAGUAUACAAUUGACUAAUAGUGUGCCACUACAUUAAUUGGUUGAAAAAUGUUGUUUUGGUAAAAAAGGAAAAGGUCUUCACACAAAAAUGUACUUGGAAAAGAGGAUUAUUUUAAUAGGUUUUUCAGCUAAUUGAAACUAUUCAUUUUUUAUGAAGUCAAGCCUUGAAUAUUUGUAAUUUUUUGAAGGUUAGCCGUUACAUAGAAUCUAAAAUAUCAAUAAGCUUUGAUACUCACUUGUUAGAUUAAAAUUCAAUGCUCUAUCUUGCAGUGCAAAUGGAUUUUUGAUGCAUGCAUGAAUUUGUAACGUUAGGCAUGAAUAUUUGGAAAAUGUGGGUUAUGUAGAUCUUUCAAAUGAUAAUAGACAUUAUAUGAUAUUUUAACAUCGCAUUCCUUAAUAUCAUCGCUGAUCCCAUCAAGUAAGUUUUCA